RNAcentral lists this unclassified non-coding RNA (273 nucleotides) under Hevea brasiliensis (rubber tree). Lineage: Eukaryota; Viridiplantae; Streptophyta; Magnoliopsida; Malpighiales; Euphorbiaceae. The record is from RNAcentral.
GGAACGUGACCCAAUGGCAGGAAUCAUGGAUUUAAUGAAGAAUAUGUACGACGAAGGAGAUGAUGAAAUGAAAAGAACGAUAGCGAAGGCAUGGACUGAUGCCAGAACUGGCAAGACCGCUGAUCCACUUAAAGGUUUCCCUUAAGCAAAUGCAGGGCAAAUCUAAUUAUCAUCUUUUAGGAAUGAUUUUUCGGUUGGGUGAAUGAAAUCAUAUGGACUGCAUUUUUGUUGGCCAAGCUAUUAUGGUUUUGAAUCCUUUUGAUUGCUUUAGUU